RNAcentral lists this ribosomal RNA (330 nucleotides) under uncultured Thelebolaceae. RNAcentral describes it as "eukaryotic LSU rRNA". The stretch from base 1 to 125 matches the Rfam family "5.8S ribosomal RNA", at positions 30 to 154 of the family's 154-position model. Lineage: Eukaryota; Fungi; Ascomycota; Leotiomycetes; Thelebolales; Thelebolaceae. The record is from RNAcentral.
GCAUCGAUGAAGAACGCAGCGAAAUGCGAUAAGUAAUGUGAAUUGCAGAAUUCAGUGAAUCAUCGAAUCUUUGAACGCACAUUGCGCCCUCUGGUAUUCCGGGGGGCAUGCCUGUUCGAGCGUCAUUACAACCCUCAAGCUCUGCUUGGUAUUGGGCACUGCAGGUUUCUGCAGGCCUUAAAAUCAGUGGCGGUGCCAUUCGGCUUCAAGCGUAGUAAUUCUUCUCGCUUUGGAGACCCGAGUGGUUAGCUAGCCAGUAACCCCCAAUUUUUUCAGGUUGACCUCGGAUCAGGUAGGGAUACCCGCUGAACUUAAGCAUAUCAAUAAACG